This 1058-nucleotide long non-coding RNA is filed under the name Capsicum annuum. RNAcentral describes it as "long non-coding RNA (CANN_LNC000709)". Lineage: Eukaryota; Viridiplantae; Streptophyta; Magnoliopsida; Solanales; Solanaceae. The record is from RNAcentral.
CUGACCUACACGAUUUCAAAUAAAUUUUACUUAUCCGUUUACAUUUGACUUUAUCGUAUUGAAUUGAAAUUUAUUUUUGAUUGCGAACUGCGUCAUCACCGACUUCAAAAUAGAUUUCUUCAUAUACACCUGAUCAAUCAAAACUUCGUUAUGUGAGUCUGAAAAAUUUUCUUGAAAUUACCCAUUUAUAUCAACAGCUUCAAUCUGUUCAAUAGGAUCUGCAUUAAUUUGGUCAUUUGUAUCAUCAACUUCAACUCCAACGUUGUCCAAACUCAACCCGCAGUCAGACCUCUCGCCUUCAAAUUUCUUGUUAGAUUUUUCAUCUUCAAUAACUUUAUCAAAUCCAGAAACAUAUAAUGAAUAGUUUCAAAAUCUUUCUCUUCUUUAAGUACCAUUACGUACACUGUCACACCCAUGCCAUUAUGUAUCUCCAUUCAUUUACUACUAAAAUCAACUUUACACUUAAUUUUUACAUCAAGCCAAUAAAAAGUUGAUUACCAAUUAAUUGAAGCAAUUGUUCAUGCAUUUCACUUUCUUCAAUUGCAAUUGGGUCCAAGUGAUAAUGUUUAUUUUCGUUAUCAACGUUUCAUACACCCCAAAGCUAAUAGAUAAUUGUGCCAUUUUUUGCAUAUAAUCUACAAAGAAAUACAAAUAAUUAAUUGCAAAUAAAUUCAGAUUCAGAAGUAAUUUAGUAAGUACAAGAUUUUCAAAUAUUUAAUGAUUUGUGAGAAAAAACACAAAUUGAUUUUAUUAUACACACAGUAAUCAAAAAUAUAAAAAUUCAAUAAUCAGAACGAAUUCAUAGUCAUAAUACUUAUUCGAAUUCAGAAAACAUAUACAAAUUCGAGAAUGAAUUCAAAAACAUUUUUUUCAAAAAAAAGUAUUUCAUGAAUUCUCUUUUACAUAUUUUUAAAUAGAGAUUUUACCUGUUAUCAAUUGUAUGAAUUGAUAUCUUCUACUGCUUAUUUCAAAUCUUAAGAAAUUUUUUUCUCCAUUUUCGACAGAUCCAUAAAAAUGAGAUUUAAUGUUUAGUUAUGAAGUAGAAAUAUGUGGAGAAG